RNAcentral lists this unclassified non-coding RNA (310 nucleotides) under uncultured fungus. RNAcentral's name for it is "partial contains 5.8S ribosomal RNA and internal transcribed spacer 2". The stretch from base 1 to 133 matches the Rfam family "5.8S ribosomal RNA", at positions 22 to 154 of the family's 154-position model. Lineage: Eukaryota; Fungi. The record is from RNAcentral.
UGGUUCUGGCAUCGAUGAAGAACGCAGCGAAAUGCGAUAAGUAAUGUGAAUUGCAGAAUUCAGUGAAUCAUCGAAUCUUUGAACGCACAUUGCGCCCCUUGGUAUUCCGAGGGGCAUGCCUGUUCGAGCGUCAUAUAAACACAUCCCUCACGGGGUCUUGGGAUCCGCGUUCCAGCGGUCCUUAAAAUUAGUGGCGGUGCCAUCUGGCUCUAAGCGUAGUAAUUAUCCUCGCUAUUGAGUUCUAGUGGUCACUAGCCAAUAACCUCAACUUUCUACGUUUGACCUCGGAUCAGGUAGGGAUACCCGCUGA